This 188-nucleotide non-coding RNA is filed under the name Immundisolibacter cernigliae. RNAcentral's name for it is "6S / SsrS RNA". It matches the Rfam family "6S / SsrS RNA". Rfam says of the family: E. coli 6S RNA was the first non coding RNA to be sequenced, but its function was unknown until recently. It consists of 184 nucleotides that fold into an extended hairpin structure with a large single-stranded internal bulge. The record is from Rfam by way of RNAcentral. RNAcentral also lists the same sequence under 2 other names. Lineage: Bacteria; Pseudomonadati; Pseudomonadota; Gammaproteobacteria; Immundisolibacterales; Immundisolibacteraceae.
GUUCCACUGCGGUGUUCGUGAGUGGAUCAAUCAUUUUCUUGAACCACAAAGCGCAAGCUUUGGAAGCUGUUCGCCGGCCUGUGUGCAGGACCGCCCUGGUAGCGGGAAGCCUGAUGGCCGGCCCCUGCUUCCACCUUGAACCAUCAGGUUCAAGAGUGACGAACCGCAACGGCACAAGUGGUGGAACC